UGGCGGACGGGUGAGUAACGCGUGGGCAACCUGCCCUGUACUGGGGGAUAACACCUGGAAACAGGUGCUAAUACCGCAUAAGCGCGCAGUGCCGCAUGGCGCGGCGCGGAAAACCCCGGUGGUACAGGAUGGGCCCGCGUCUGAUUAGCUGGUUGGCAGGGUAACGGCCUACCAAGGCGACGAUCAGUAGCCGGCCUGAGAGGGUGGACGGCCACACUGGGACUGAGACACGGCCCAGACUCCUACGGGAGGCAGCAG
This 258-nucleotide ribosomal RNA is filed under the name uncultured bacterium. RNAcentral describes it as "partial 16S ribosomal RNA". It matches the Rfam family "Bacterial small subunit ribosomal RNA", at positions 96 to 354 of the family's 1533-position model. The record is from RNAcentral.